GCAGAACGCGAAGAACCUUACCAAGGCUUGACAUCCCCCUGAUCGGUCUAGAGAUAGAUCUUUCCCUUCGGGGACAGGGGUGACAGGUGGUGCAUGGUUGUCGUCAGCUCGUGUCGUGAGAUGUUGGGUUAAGUCCCGCAACGAGCGCAACCCUUAUCUUUAGUUGCCAGCAUUCAGUUGGGCACUCUAGAGAGACUGCCGGUGACAAACCGGAGGAAGGUGGGGAUGACGUCAAAUCAUCAUGCCCCUUAUGUCUUGGGCUACACACGUGCUACAAUGGUUGGUACAAAGGGCAGCAAGCCAGCGAUGGUAAGCAAAUCCCAGAAAGCCAAUCUCAGUUCGGAUUGUAGGCUGCAACUCGCCUACAUGAAGUCGGAAUCGCUAGUAAUCGCAGAUCAGCAUGCUGCGGUGAAUACGUUCCCGGGUCUUGUACACACCG
This 439-nucleotide ribosomal RNA is filed under the name uncultured bacterium. Its description in RNAcentral is "bacterial SSU rRNA". It matches the Rfam family "Bacterial small subunit ribosomal RNA", at positions 954 to 1392 of the family's 1533-position model. The record is from RNAcentral.